This 449-nucleotide ribosomal RNA is filed under the name uncultured bacterium. RNAcentral describes it as "bacterial SSU rRNA". It matches the Rfam family "Bacterial small subunit ribosomal RNA", at positions 32 to 506 of the family's 1533-position model. The record is from RNAcentral.
AAUCAACGCUGGCGGCGUGCCUAACACAUGCAAGUCGAGCGAGAAAGUGGGGGCAACUCCAUGAGUACAGCGGCGACCGGGUGAGUAACACGUGACUAACCUACCCUUGAGUGGGGAAUAACUCCGGGAAACCGGAGCUAAUACCGCAUAACACCGUAAGGUCAAAGGAGCAAUUCGCUUAAGGAGGGGGUCGCGGUUGAUUAGCUAGUUGGUGGGGUAAUGGCCCACCAAGGCGAUGAUCAAUAGCCGGCCUGAGAGGGCGCACGGCCACACUGGAACUGAAACACGGUCCAGACUCCUACGGGAGGCAGCAGUGGGGAAUUUUGCGCAAUGGGGGAAACCCUGACGCAGCAACGCCGCGUGAAGGAUGAAGGUCUUUGGAUUGUAAACUUCUUUUCGUUCGGGACGAUAAUGACGGUACCGGAAGAAGAAGCCCCGGCUAACUUCGU